UAUCGGAGCGACGGUUUCGUUUUUUAUCUACUAUUCAAAGUCCAAUUAAUCAUCAAUAUGCAAGAUUUCUCAUUGUUUAUCUGUUCUAGUUCAGUUCAGUUUAGUUCAGUUUUGUAGUAAUUACUUAGUUUCAGGAGGGCCGGGUCGGGUGAUCCAGGUGGCACCUACAUGGCCCGAGUCCUGAAGGAUAGCACAGGAGUGGCGGGAAGCUGUCACAGAACACUGCGGUCAUAGCACGCAAACAGCACUAGAAUUCCCAAGUCGCGUAGAUUGAGUAAAUUAGGAAACGCACCUACGCAUUCGUCAGUUUUUAUUGGUAAAGUCACAGUUUGCACUCUUCACUGCUAAUUACGCGCGGUGUGUGUUGGUGUCGAUGUUUUCGAUCAGACUGGAACCAGACUUGCUGUCGACUUCCACUUGCUCUCCCAACACUCGAAGACGAUUUCACAAUUUUUGAGGCGAUUUGAGGGCCGGCAUCGCGCGAACGGCGCCUACCUUCGUACUGAUUUUAAUUGCACCAAAACAACGAUAAGUAGUCUAAGGCGAGCUUUUACACACACGAGCAUAUGGAGAGAUUAGCAUACGUUGGGUGCCUUCAGAUAAAUCAGAUCCCAUUGGUACGACUAUCUCACAAGGACUUGAUUGGUCGUUCUUUUGCAUGGAAUGGCGGAGUUACUCGCCAUUUUUAGCGGGGCAGCGCUCAGGACCGGACUCGGCACGAGGGAAUUCCCCGAGGAGACCUACCUGGAAGAGGUUUCAACCAGAGAAAAAUAAAGUUGUGCUUUUUUGGCUUUUGGUUUUUAGCCAGUUCCAGGGUGUUUCAUUUUUAUUGAUACAAAUUUAAACAUUCAAUUUUAAGACAAAAGUUUCCUAUAAACAUGUAUCGAAAAAUGUACCCUUCUUCUAGAAGAUUUUCCCCAAUAUUUCAGAAACCAUAGCAGAUAAAAUUACAAACUUUGCUACAGUUGAUAAUCUUAAUUGAUAAGCCGAAUUGAAUUCAAAGAUCAAAUGUGGAAAUUUUUAAUCAGGAGCUUCCCAAACUGUAUAAUAUAGCAAAAAAUAAUCUAACUAUUGAGGCUUUAGUUUUUUGACACUUUCAGCAACGAAAACUUCAAUUAUUCCAACAGUUUUUUACACAAAAAUAGUUUCUUGUGUUGUUUCGAUAAAAGUCACCGUUUUUGAGUAAAAUCAAGCAUGAAAAUCAGGAAGGACGACUAGAACGAAAUUGAAGUCUAGAUUUUUUGAGGUUAGACCUUUUGAGGUAAAAGGCAUCUUUAGGACAGGUUCUGGACGUUCAUUCCUGAUUUUCAGAUUGUUUAUGGUUUAUGGUCUGUAACGUAACGUUUAAAGGCAUAUUGAUAACUUAAAAAACAACUUUGUCCUAAAUGAUAGUACUGAAAACGCUUAUUACAGAAGUGAAAACCGUUUCCCUGUAUCUGCUCUCUAACUCAUAACGUCAUAACCGCCUAUCGAGCAUUUGGUCCAACAAUAAAAUCAAAUAGUUUAAGUGUCACAGUCAGAGUUUAUCAAGACAAAAUUUUACUAAAAAGUAGUUAAUUUGUGAUUUUGUGAUAAGAGGAUCCUGAGAUGAGACAACACAAGAGACCAUUUUUUCUAAAAAUCUAAUUUGCGAUUUUGUUGCUGGAAGUGUUAAAAAACAAGCCAUACAGUCUCCCAGUUUGGAACGCGCAUGAUUCAAAAUUUCUACAUUUCAUCUUCGAAUUCGAUUACCUAGACGUAUAAAGGAUGAGUAUAAAGGUUAUAAACUGUACUAAAGUUUGGAAUUUUAUCUGUAAUGGUUUCUGAAAUAGUAAGAAAAACCUAGUAAAAGAAACACCCCUUUGAGAGGAUAUAGCUACCUUAAAAAGUAUUUGUCGAUGAUGUUUGUUUUAAAAUUAAAUGUUUAUUUUCACAUAUCGACAAAAUUUCGAUUGCAGUAAUGUCGUAUCAUUCUAAACAAAACCGAUGCAAGUUAGCAUCUCAAGCAUCUCAUCUCACACUCCGGAUAGUCAAGAAUAGUACUCUUAAUAAUACUUAUCACUACACAAAACGUUUAAAAAAAAUAAAAUCAUUACAGCCAAAAGAUAUUAAAGGAUA
Long non-coding RNA from Tribolium castaneum (red flour beetle), 2097 nucleotides. RefSeq lists it as uncharacterized. The record is from RefSeq and is a predicted model, not a curated record. NCBI's taxonomy places the organism in Eukaryota, Metazoa, Arthropoda, Insecta, Coleoptera, Tenebrionidae. The transcript is spliced from 2 exons.